This 398-nucleotide ribosomal RNA is filed under the name uncultured bacterium. Its description in RNAcentral is "bacterial SSU rRNA". It matches the Rfam family "Bacterial small subunit ribosomal RNA", at positions 358 to 773 of the family's 1533-position model. The record is from RNAcentral.
GGGAUAUUGGACAAUGGGCGCAAGCCUGAUCCAGCCAUGCCGCGUGAGUGAUGAAGGCCCUAGGGUUGUAAAGCUCUUUCACCGGUGAAGAUAAUGACGGUAACCGGAGAAGAAGCCACGGCUCACUUCGUCACAGCAGCCGCGGUAAUACGAAGGGGGCUAGCGUUGUUCGGAAUUACUGGGCGUAACGCGCACGUAGGCGGAUCGUUAAGUGAGGGGUGAAAUCCCAGGGCUCAACCCUGGAACUGCCUUUCAUACUGGCGAUCUUGAGUUCGAGAGAGGUGAGUGGAAUUCCGAGUGUAGAGGUGAAAUUCGUAGAUAUUCGGAGGAACACCAGUGGCGAAGGCUGCUCACUGGCUCGAUACUGACGCUGAGGUGCGAAAGCGUGGGGAGCAAAC